CUGCCGGAAGGAUCAUUAUUGAAUAAGCUUGGUUGGGUUGUUGCUGGCUCUUUGGGGGCAUUGUGCACGCCUGACGCCAAUCUUUUUACCACCUGUGCACCUUUUGUAGAUCCUGGAUAACUGAGGAUUGCUGUUCGUCAAAGUCGGCUUUCCUUACAUUUCCGGUCUAUGUAUUUUUUUAAUACACCAUCAGUAUGUCUAUGAAUGCUUAUAUUAUCGGACUUGAUUGUCCAAUAAAACCUUAAUACAACUUUCAACAACGGAUCUCUUGGCUCUCGCAUCGAUGAAGAACGCAGCGAAAUGCGAUAAGUAAUGUGAAUUGCAGAAUUCAGUGAAUCAUCGAAUCUUUGAACGCACCUUGCGCUCCUUGGUAUUCCGAGGAGCAUGCCUGUUUGAGUGUCAUAAAAUUCUCAACCUUUUCAGCUCUUUUGUUGUUGAUUAGGCUUGGAUGUGGGAGUUUGCUGGCUUUUAUUUAUUAGAAGGUCGGCUCUCCUUAUAAUUCAUUAGUAGGAUCUCUGUUGCCCUAGCUUUUGGUGUGAUAGUUAUCUACGCCAUUAUGUGAAGCAGCUUUUUAAAGGUCACUGCUUUCUAACCGUCUCUGAUGGGAG
This 608-nucleotide ribosomal RNA is filed under the name uncultured Basidiomycota. RNAcentral's name for it is "eukaryotic LSU rRNA". The stretch from base 249 to 402 matches the Rfam family "5.8S ribosomal RNA". Lineage: Eukaryota; Fungi; Basidiomycota. The record is from RNAcentral.